This 450-nucleotide ribosomal RNA is filed under the name uncultured bacterium. RNAcentral describes it as "partial 16S ribosomal RNA". It matches the Rfam family "Bacterial small subunit ribosomal RNA", at positions 354 to 796 of the family's 1533-position model. The record is from RNAcentral.
GUGGGGAAUAUUCCGCAAUGGACGAAAGUCUGACGGAGCAACGCCGCGUGAGUGAUGAAGGUUUUCGGACUGUAAAGCUCUGUUGUUUAGGACGAAAGUGCCUGUUGCAAAUAGUUACAGGUAUUGACGGUACUGAACGAGGAAGCCACGGCUAACUACGUGCCAGCAGCCGCGGUAAUACGUAGGUGGCAAGCGUUGUCCGGAAUUAUUGGGCGUAAAGAGCAUGUAGGCGGGAAUCUAAGUCUGUUGUGAAAAUGCGGGGCUCAACCCCGUAUUGCGAUGGAAACUGGGUUUCUUGAGUGCAGGAGAGGAAAGGGGAAUUCCCAGUGUAGCGGUGAAAUGCGUAGAUAUUGGGAGGAACACCAGUGGCGAAGGCGCCUUUCUGGACUGUGUCUGACGCUGAGAUGCGAAAGCCAGGGUAGCGAACGGGAUUAGAUACCCUGGUAGUCC